This is a long non-coding RNA of Solanum pennellii, 6134 nucleotides long. RefSeq lists it as uncharacterized. NCBI's taxonomy places the organism in Eukaryota, Viridiplantae, Streptophyta, Magnoliopsida, Solanales, Solanaceae. The transcript is spliced from 6 exons. The record is from RefSeq and is a predicted model, not a curated record.
UGAUCUAUAAAUAGUGAAUGUGAUGGGAAAGGGUACAAUAUCAAUUUUAGAACAAAAAAUAGGUGUGUGGAAGUCGUAUCAAAUCUGUUGAGAGUUGUCCCCGUCAGCUGUUACAAAAAAGGGUAUGUCAUCAUGUUAAGGAAUGAUACAUGUGAAAUUUCUAGUCCCCCUAGACGAUUUAUUGAUUUUGUGAAAAUGAGUCAAAACACAUUGUUUCCUUUGAAUAUUGAAAAUGUUCAAUCUUGCUACUUGGCGGAAAUGAAAAUUCCUUCAUGGUUGUGGCAUUUUUGAUAUGGUCACUUGAAUUUUGAUGGCUUGAAGAUCCUUCAAAGGAAGAGUAUGGUGACGGGGCAUUAUGAAAUUGUUGUUCCGUCUCAAGUUUGUGAAGAAUGUGUUGUUGGAAAACAACGUCGUUUCAGUUUCCUAAUAGUAAGUCAUGGAGAUCCAAGGAGGUAUUAGGUCAGUACACUCGGAUGUCUAUGGGCCAUUAAGACCAAUCUCUAAUGGGGGCAAAAGGUAUUUCAUUACCUUUAUUGAUGAUUAUUCGAGGAAGACUUGGGUGUACAUUCUGAAAGAAAAAUCAAACGCUUUUAAUGUAUUUAAAAGCUUCAAAGUGUGUGUGGAGAUUGAGACUGGAGGGCCAUUAAGAACCUUCUGAUAGAUCACGAAGGAGAAUAAUUAUCUAAGGUAUUUGAUGAAUUUUGUGAGACUCGUGACAUUUUAAAAGAGCUUAGAACAACAUAUACACCACAGCAAAAUGGUGUGACCGAGAGGAAGAAUAGAACCAUUCUUAACAUGGUUCUUAGCUUGCUGGCUCAGGGAAGAGUUCCAUAGGAAUUUAUGCCAGAACGGUAAAAUGGAGCAUUCUUAUCUUGAACAGAAGUUCCACUUUUUCUCUUCGAGAUGUAAUACCCGAGAAAGUGUGGAGCAGAAGGAAACCGGCAGUAGACCACUACAAAAAUUUUGGAUCAAUUGCUUAUGCACAUAUUCCAAAAGAAAAAAGAAAGAAGCUUGAUGAUAGAGAUUAUAAAUGUGCUUUUCUUGGUGUUAAUGAAACAUGGUGUGCUAGCAUUUGAUGUAAAAAUGAGGUUGCAGCAGUUGUACGUGUGCCUAUUCCACCUGGGAGAUAUGGUGUGUUGACUCAGGUAAAAGAUGAGCUAUCCUAUGUAAGUGUUUACAACGAUUGCGGGGAUGUUUUUUUGUUAGAUAUGUACAGAGGAAUGGACAUGAGUAUGAAUCGUACUGUGUGAGUAAAUCUUGGACGCAAGAAGUCUCAACAAAGAUUGGAGACAUAUCCCUUUGUUGGCAAUGGUACUGUGUUGUGCAGCGUAUUACCGUGUAUAAACGGUGGUGAUGACAUUGUGGUGAUCUACAAAACUGAAAGGAUAUAUAUUUAUUACCUGAAUGGGAAGAAGGUGGAGACUAUUAUGACUCCAACACAAUUAAAUCCUAAGAGAAGAUUCAUACCAUACACAAACAGCCUCGCUGUGAUACAUGAGCUGAAGAAGUAGUUGUUCUGUCAAGUAGAAUUCUCAUGUUUAAUUUCAUCCUCUUUUGUUUUUAUAUGACUUGGAUUGUAGAUUAAGUUGUUUUUCUAAUAGACAUGUUUAGGAUUGACAAUAUAGUUAGAACGUUUUUUCCUCCACUCAUUUUGAAUUAUUUCUUGCUUGAUUGCAUUGUGUUACUUGUGAGUUCCUUUCUACUGUUACUGUUUAAAUUUGACGAUGGAAUGUGUGGUAUGAUCAACACAUUCCACUUUCAUCAGAACGGAACUCACAAGUAAAAACACACAAUCAAGCAAGAAAUAACUAAAAAUGAGUGAUAGAAAAAACGUUCAAUCUACCUUGGCAAUCCAAAACAUGUCUAUCACAAAAAGAACUUAAUCUGCAAUCCAAGUCAUAUAAAAACAAAAGAAGAUGAAAUUAAACAUGAGAAUUCUACUUGACAGCAACAACAACAGAACAACUACUUCUUCAGCUCAUGUAUCGCAAUGAGGCUGUUUGUGUACGGUUGAAUCUUCUCUUAGGAUUUAAUUGUCCUGGAGUCAUAAUCUCCACCUUCUGCCUAUUCAGGUAAUAAAGAUAUAUCCUUUCAGUUGUGUAGAUCACCACAAUGUCAUCACCACUGUUUAUAAAAGGUAAUACACUACACAACACAGUAUCAUUGUCAACAAAGGGAUCUUUCUCCAAUGUUUGCCGAGACUUCUUGUCUCCAAGAUUUACGCACACACUACGAUUCAGACUCAUGUCCAUUCCUCCCUACAUAUCUAACAUAAAAACAUCCCCACAAUCAUUGUAAACAGUUAGAUAGGAUAGCUCAUCCUUUACCUGAGUCAACACACCAUAUCUCCCAGGUGGAAUAGGCACACGUAGAACUGCUGCAACCUCAUUUUUUACAUCAAAUGCUAGCACACCAUAUUCUCCAUAUUCAUCAUACAAGAUAUUCAAUUCUUGACAAAGAAGGUUGUGACUGGAAGAGAUGUUUUUGAUGAGGAUUAUACUUUGGAUUGGAAUAUACAUCAGUAUACUCCAAUCCUAAUUAAUAAUGAAGUCAAAGAAGUAGUUGCCACACCCAAAAUUGCUGAAAUUUCUACUGAAGCAGGUUACGAUAUUUCACCACAAGUUUUGAAAGAAAUUAAUGCUCCUGAUCAGCCUCUUAGUUGUGAUUGCAUAAGGCCCACAUAGAUGAUGGAUUAUAAGGUAACAACAAUUCUUGUUAAUGAAGAUUCCCCACAUUUCUUUGUUUGUAGACUGUGAUCCUACAACUUUUGAGAAUGCUGUCAAAGAGGAGAAAUGGAGAAAAGCUCACUACUACAAAAAUCACUUUUAGCGGCAAUUACUUAAUGGCAAUAAUAUAAAUGCCGCUAAAUUAUCUUUUAUAAUCCAUUAUUAGCGGCAAUUGACCAUUAGUCAGUAAUAAUUGACCCAUUAACGACAAUUAUUUUUUACUUAAAGAAAUAACUAAUAGACCAUUUCAUUAAGAGAAUACCUUUUAUUCCAAAAUACCCCCAACAUUCUGUACAGGGCUAUAGCUAAACACAUUUCACUCCAAAACCCCCCAAAAUUCUAAAAAAAAGGCAAUUCCAAAUUAUCGACGUCUUCAUCUGAAGCGCAAUCCGAGAUUCACCACAUUGGCAUGAAUCACCAUCAAUUUCUCUGAAGCUUCAUCUUCUUUGUCUUCGACUUCAUCGUUUGUAUCUCCAUUUUCUUCAUCCGCCAUCAACUUUCGCAAUCCUUUGUCACCUCUUCGAGGUACGCCGCAUAUUGUUUAUUUUUUUUUAAUGUGAUUAGAUGAUGAUGAAUGUUUUUUGUAAGAGUGAUGAAAUUACCAUAAAUAAGAACUGCACUCUUGCAAUGAAGUUAUAGUUUGCUGAGAUAGAGUUGUACUUUGUAUAUGGCGUGUUGUGAUAAGCUCGAUCUGUAAAUAAUUUUGCUCUGUAUUUGCCUUUGCUCUAUUUCAGUUUGCUUGGUAUAUAAUGCAACAAUUUGUACCUUGCUUAAUGCAAUCAUUGUCUAUUUUAUGAUUUUCUUUUUCAAAUCAUGCUUUUACUAAUAUGGUUUUUUGGUGUAUGACUAUAAAAUCAUGAUAUAUGAGGAUUAGUAUAUGUAGUGUCCAGAGAGUUGUGAUCUAUGCAUUGUACUAAGCUCUAAUUCGUUAAUUUGUGCUCUAUGCAUUGUACUAAUCUCUAAUUCGUUAAUUCGACUCCUUUUAGAUUUCGCUUUCUCAAAACUUGAAUUUGAUUUGAUUAGCCUAAUAUAGCUUUGAUGAAGAACAUAGCUUAGAAAAUCUGUAUAUAUUAAUUAGAUUUUGUUUUCUUUUGAAUUUAGCUCGAGAAGAUGAGUUAAAAUUCUCUGUAGCUUAGAACACUAUUUAAAAUUUCAUAACAAAACUAAGAGCAGCCUCUUGCAGGUGUGUUUCCAUUGUUGUUUCCUUUAAUAGUUUGGUUGCAAGUUUUCACAUAUUAGUAUGUAUAUGCCUAAUUCGUAAGCAUGCCAUUGAAAAAUCAUGAAAUUUGUCUAAUAAACUUGUACCAGAGAACCAACAGGGCAUAAUAAAACUUGUGUUCUCUGCAAUUGCUAGGUGCAGUAACAUGACAUCUUGUUGACAUUUCUCCAGGAAGCCUCCUCUUGUCACUUAUCCCAGCUUCCAAUAUUCUACAGCCUCUUAGAUUCAUCAUCUAAUGAUCUGAUGUUGCUUGCAUAGUAAAUGAAAUAUCCAAUCUCUUGUGCAACUGUCUGGAUCAAUAAAUCUAUGACCUUUUCCACAACUUGAGAUAAGAAUUGGAACAUUCCGGUUCGUGAUGUAUUACAGUAAAGUUAGUAAAAUGUAUUUUUCUUUUAGAGGUUUGAAGAAAAAUAGAUAAGUAGUUGAGUUUGAAGUACGAAAAAUGCAAACUAGACUUGGUAGCAGAUUGAUAAUGAACAACGUCUUGAUGAAGAAGUGCAGUCUUAUAUUCAGGAAUUAUUAAAAGCUCAGAGUUGCUUUCGACCCCAAAUAUCUGAAGAUAACAAUUCUAUUGGCUCCAUUGAUGAACUGAACAAUGAGCCAGGUUCUCUCUUGUUUUAUUGAUGAUAAAUCUUGUCAAGUUUGGAGAUGUCUCAGGUAUUCUGAAAAAGACGUUACUAUUACAUGGCUUAUACUCAUUCAUCCGGUCAUAUAUAUAUAUAUAUAUAUAUAUUUGUUGAAUUAUUGGUCAUUGUUGAUAUCAAGCUUAGAAAUUGUACUUUAUUCUUUUUCUGUUGACUGCCAUAAAGCGAGUGUUGAAUCUUUAAAUAAAGUUCGUGGAUUAUUAAAAGAUUUUGGAAUCUACCCUUGGGAAAGACAAUUGUUGUGCAAUUUAAUAGUCGUAAUCAAUCAAUUGGAAAAGAGGGUCGAAAGCUUGCUCGCUUUCUAGGCAUCAUUGCUAGAAUCCCAGAUUUGACACCAUUAAAUGCAAAUGAUUGGCGAGUGUUUGACGAAGAAGAAAAGAAAAAAUUGGUGGAGUUUGUGAGGAAAAAAUUCUCAAUUCCAAUACAUGGAGAAGAGUUUGUGAAAAAGUCAAUAGGAAAAAAAUGGAGGGACUAUAAAUGUGACUUAAAGGCUAUGUAUGUGACCAAUUAUAAGACAAAGAUGCCUUGAUGAAAAAUAGACCAAGUCACAUACCAAGAGAUCAAUGGAGUUGUCUCAUCUCGUAUUGGCUUUCUGAAAAAGCAAAGGCUAUAGAUGGAAUAGAGCCUACACGUGCAAAAGUCUACAUAUUAACUCUUACAAAACGCAAAGAUGAUGGACCAUUGGAUGAGGAGUCUUCAAAUGUAGUUUCUUCAUUAUUCUAAGAACAUGAUGAAAGAGAAGUUGAGUAAUGGUGAGACAUCUGAGGAACAAUCACAUGACAAUGUUGCCUGGGAAGGAGAUGUGUAUUAUCAAGUGUUGGGAAAUGAAAAAAGUGGUUAUGUUCGUGGUUUAGGACUUGGUCCAACCCCUUCUCUGUUAUGGGGCAGUAAGUCUUUCAUACGAAAUGUUGUUGUUGAUGAUUUGUGUGAUGAGGCCGAUAUACACAUAAGCUAGAACAAGAAAUAAAUGAGUUGAAAGUGUUGAACAAAAACAGGAUGAAGAAAUGUCUUCGAUGAGAAAAAAUCAAGAAAUGCUACUCUCAGAAUUAUCAUGGAUGAGACAAGUUAUGUGGAAAUAUUCUCCUACUGAAUUAAGUCGGCCUCAAAACAAUGAAAGAACUACUAGACAGGUUUCUGAUGCCAAUAGUGGCAAUGAACAAGCAAUAUAAGCACGGCUCAAGUCGUUACUGGCCACAAGUUCUUUCUUCUUGUUGGUAGUUUGGUUGGCAUGAUAGAGAAAAAUGAGAAAUUGCAUGGAUUGUGGAAAAAAAUAGUACUCAUUGUCUUGAUUCGGAAUGUCAUCAACGUAUCAUCUGUGACAUUGGUCGUGAUCCAAGUUGCCAUAGUUUGACUGGGGGAAAAAGAAAUAAUGGUUCAAUCUCUUUGUUUGUCUAUUGUUGAACAAAUUCUCUCUAUUUUUGAAUACUUGACUGCAUUCUUAUUGUUUUGAUGAUUCAUAUUUUGUCAUACUGCUAGAAGACAGACGGUGGAUGUAUUGAUUGUUCUUAUAUGUGAUAAUGUUUGAGUUCGAUAAUUUUUGCAUUA